This is a long non-coding RNA of Triticum aestivum (bread wheat), 342 nucleotides long. RefSeq lists it as uncharacterized. The transcript is spliced from 2 exons. Lineage: Eukaryota; Viridiplantae; Streptophyta; Magnoliopsida; Poales; Poaceae. The record is from RefSeq and is a predicted model, not a curated record.
CGGCCAUCCACCAGGACGAUGCUGACAGCCAAAGAAAGCUCCUUCCCCACCGCUGACAGCCAAAACCGCUCUUGUGCUCAUCAAGGUUAGUCAAUGUAUAGGACUGCGCUUUUGUGUGUCCUUUCCUUCAAGCUGUCAUUCAGGAGAAGAGAGGAGCGAGGCCUCGAUCCAGACUCAGGAGGAGGAGGAGACGAGGAGCAACACCUAUUUUUAUUGUCCGUCAAGCCCCAUUAUACUUUGCGGUUCCAGCCACCUGAUCACUAACCUGAAUGAGUAAGUAGACCAUUAUAUAUGAUGGUCUUGCUUCCUUUUGUGAUCAUGUAUCUAUGUUAGAUCCGGUGA